Molecule: non-coding RNA, 6594 nt
Organism: Oryctolagus cuniculus (rabbit)
Lineage: Eukaryota; Metazoa; Chordata; Mammalia; Lagomorpha; Leporidae
Source: RefSeq, a predicted model, not a curated record
UUCUAUCCACUGGUUCACUCUUCAGCUGGCUGGAGCUGGGCCAGGCUGAAGUCAGGAGCCAGGAGCUCCAUCUGGAUCUCCCACAUGGAUACUGGGCCCAAACACUCGGGCCAUUUUCCCACUGCUUUCUCAGGUAUGUUAGCGGGUGGCUGGGACUUGAACCAGAGCCCAUAUGAGAUGCCAGAGUUGCAGGCAAUGGCUUAACCCACUACACCACAGCACCUUAGUUCCUCCUAAACCCUAAGGAGACAAAGAUUCUUUAGAAUUAAAGAUACAAUUAUAUAUAUAUAUAUAUAUUAUAACAGGCAGAGUGGACAGUGAGAGAGAGAGACUGAGAGGAAAGGUCUUCCUUUGCCGUUGGUUCACGCUACAAUGGCCGCCGCGGCCGGCGCGCUGCGGCCGGUGCAUCGCACUGAUCCGAAGCCAGGAGCCAGGUGCUUCUCCUGGUCUCCCAUGGGGUGCAGGACCCAAGCACUUGGGCCAUCCUCCACUGCACUUCCCGGCCACAGCAGAGAGCUGGCCUGGAAGAGGGGCAACCGGGACAGAAUACGGCGCCCUGACCGGGACUAUAACCCAGGGUGCCGGCGCUGCAAGGCGGAGGAUUAGCCUAGUGAGCCACGGCGCUGGCCUGACACAAUUAUAUUUUAAAUAAUAGGUUGCAAGGAUGGACAUUAGUCCCACAUUGGAGUGUCUGAGUUCCAUAUCUGUCCCCACUCCUGACUCCAGCUCUGCCGAUGUAGACCCUGGGAAGCAAUGGUCAAGGCUCAGCUGGAGGGGUCCCUGAUGCCUGGAAAACCUAGAUUGUGUUCCAGGCCAUUGUGGGUACUUGGGUAAACCAGCAAUGCCACACUCUUUUUCUCGCAAUUAAAAAUUACCUAUAAGGUAAUAAGAAUGUAUUUUCUGUAAAAAAUGUACAAAAUUUAGAUCAUCAAAAGAAAAGUCAGCUGCCUAAUCUUUAUCUCCUAAAAGCAAGUAACACUAUUUUAACUCGCCUUUUCUAUUUAAUAAGAAAUUGAGAUUAUCAUUAUAUUAAUAUUUCUAGAUUAUUUCCUAUUCCUGUAAUGAUUUGUUGCUUCAAAUCUUUUGUACAUGGAAGAAAGUCUGGAAUUGAUAAAAAAAAAAACAGGGAAAAAAUAAAGCACUAUGAUUUCAUGAUACAAACAUUCCUAUUUAAAUUGGAGGUGAAAAAUGUUUUUCCUUCUCAGCUUUGCAUAAAAUAGUGACAGCCUGCACCUUGUUUAACUCGCUGCAUCUAUAACUUAACAAUAUACUGUGAGCAUUUUUCAGGUUAAAAUAUUCUUUUAUAUCAAAUUUUUAAAUUGAAUGUGUAUUAUAGAUGGGCUAUACUUUUAUUUACCCAACUUCUACCCAUAGACAUUUGACAUUCUCCAAUAUUUUGCCAUUUUGUGAUACUGUAAAUAAAUAUAUUUGUAGCCAAGUCAUUGUACUCACACAGUACUGUUUCCCUGUAUGCAUUCUUUUUUUAAAAGAUUUAUUUUAUUUAUUUGAAAGUCAGAGUUACACAGAGAGGAGAGGCAGAGACAGAUAGUCUUCCAUCCGCUGGUUCACCCCCGAAAUGGCCACAAUGCUUAGAGGUGCACCGAUCCAAAGCCAGGAGCCAGGAGCUUCUUCCGGGUCUCCCACAUGGGUGCAGGGGCCCAAGGACUUGGACUAUCUUCCACUGCUUUCCCAGGGCAUAGCAGAGAGCUGGAUCAGAAGAGGAGUAGCUGGGACUAGAACCGGCACCCAUAUGGGAUGCUGGUGCUACAGGCCAGGGUGUUAACCCACUGCACCACAGUGCCGGCCUCUAGAAGGGGAAUUGAUGAAUCAGAGGAUUCAAAGUAGAAAUUCUUGAUUUUGCAAUUUUGGAGUGGGCAAAGAAGACAAGAGGUGAUCUACACCAGGAAUCAUUGAGAUGGAAAUGACAUUGGAGCCUCUCAAGUGAAGCGCAUGUUUCUCAGGAUCAUCGUCUUGUUCAUGCUCUAGACCACAGUGUCCUGCUAAUAGACCCCCUCCCCCCACCACCUCCCUGCCCCACCAUUGAUGCCCAAAUUCCACCGAGUUCCCAGCCUUACAAGUUGCUUUCUUUUGCCCAACUAUAUUAUGGGUGUGUAUAAACCUCUGUGUCACUUUGUUUUCUUGAGAGAGAGCUUUUUCACACUCUCUGUCUUUCAGUACUUACCUGAGGAGAAAGUCAACACCUCCUUUGUCUGCCAUUGUCUUUGAACCUUACUGUUAGUAGAGCUCUUAGCUUUCUAUACUUUGCUUCUGUUCCAGGCACCUCUUCAGGACAAUGGGGACCAUAUCUUGUAUCCGCUAUUCCCAUCAGAGACUAAGAUUCUACUCUCCACCAUCUUCUUCAGUGUUCAUUAACCGUAGCCCAUGCUAAGAAAUCUAUUUUUGCUUAAUGAUCUAUUAAAUAUUUUCAUAACAUACAUACACAUGUACACACAUGCAAAAACCACAUAUAGUUGAAAUGAAGCUUUGUGGAAUAGAAUUUAACCAUAACAGAACAUCACAUACUCUCACAUUUUCUAUUCUGUUCUAUUAGUCAUCAGAAAAGUUCUGGUCACAGUCUACCAAAUCAAUUUAUGUACUAGUGAGUCAUGAUUCUGUUUGCAAAAAUCUACUUAGCAUAAGCUCAACGAUUAUUUUUGAACUGAAUUGCAAAACAUUGGCUUAUUUUGAAGCAAAUCUCAGACAUUAUGCAAUUUUAUCCAAAAAUACUUCAGUAUUUAUUUCUAAAACAAAAUUUUUAUGUUUUUGCACUCAAACAAUAUAAUUUUUGCAUCUAAAAUAGAGGUUAAUUUAUCGAUAUCAUCAAGUAUGCAGUCAGUGUCCAGUUUCCUCAAUGAUUCUGCAGAUGGUUUUUAAAAAUUGCAUCUGAUUAAUAUUUCUUUCAGAUUUCUUUUAGUCUAUUAGAUAUUCCUCUGGAUUUCUUUCAUCUUCUCCCCAACAUUUUAGGCAUUUUGUAAUUUGGAUUUGCUGUAUUGUUAUUCAAAUUUGCUAUAAGAGACAUGAAAGCAAAUGGGGUGGAUGUAACCUCUGAGAAAUUUUAAGCAUAGAUGCUAAGUAAGUUAGUGGCUUGUGAAGCGUAGGUGGUCCUCACAGGCUGUGUUAAGAAUAAACAAUGAGUGAGGAAGAAUCUCAUGGGAUAUAUAUCUCAUGGGAUGCAGGUAGAAUUCAUAAGAUAUGCUAAAUAGACCAAGUUGGUGCAAGACUAUAAAAAGGAACAAAUGGAAUGUUUGCUGGAACAAACAAGAAUCUUAUUAGGAAAGCGAAGUCAUAGCAAACGAUAGCGUCGUCUCUAACCUGACAGCUUUGUCCUCCUUGAAUCAUUUCUCAGUGGAGGCACCCAGGAUGCUGCCAUCCUGUCCUUGCUUGUGUUCUACACAAGAAAUGCAGAUAAAACCCGUGGUUGCUUGGCAGGCUACUUGGCUAGCUAUGACUGUGGUCAGAUACAUUCACCCAAGUCUCUCUGGUAGACAAAGUAUGUGUCAUCAGUCCUAGGCCUCUUCUAUCUAUGGAUCCCUGUUCAGAUCUCAACUCUGGUUUUUAUGACACCACCACAGAGUGGGAGAGGCCAGCACAGGUGAGAGAGGUGGGGGGAAUGAAGGCUUUCUAACCCAUGAUCAAAUGGUCUUUGCACUCACUUGCUUCCUACCUUAAGAGUGUUGACCAACCCAUCUCUUUCUCCUUGCUUUUCCUCUUUUUCUUCCUCUUUCUUCUUUUAAUUGUGGUAACUCUCCCUACCCCCACUUACUGUUAAAUUUACCAUCUUAGCCAUUUUAAAUGUUCAUUUCAGUGGUUUAAGUAUAUUUACAGUGUUGUGAAACAUCUUCAGAACUUUUUCAUGUUUGGAAAACUGACACUCUGUACACUUUAAGCACUAAUUCUGCCUUCCACUCCCCUGCCCUUGACAACCAGCACUCUGCUUUCUGUUCCUACGAUUUUGACCACUUUAGAUACCUCAUAUAUGUGGACACAUGCAGUAGUCGUCCUUCUGCAUAACAUCCUUGAGGUUCAUCCACAUUCCAAUGUAUGUAUAGAUUGUAUUUUCUUUGUCCAUUCAAUUAUUGAUGGACGUUAGUGAUUAAUACUGCAAUUGAACAUGGAUUACAAAUAUCUCUUUAAGGUUCUACUCUGAAUUCACUGUAUACUCAGAAGUGGAAGUGCUGGAUCAUGCAGUAAAUCUAUUUGUAAUUUUUUGAAGAACACCCAUACCAUUUCCCAUAAUGAUUCUACCCUUUUAGAUUCCAACCAGUGAAGCACAAGGUUCCAGAGCAGAGAGCUGGACUGGAAGAGGAGCAACCGGGACUAGAACCGGUGCCCAUAUGGGAUUCCAGCACCUCACGCAGAGGAGUAACCAAGUAAACUGCGGCACCGGCCCCGUGACUCAUUUUUUUAAAGGCGCUAGUGGUGGACCCUCUCAGUUGCUGAUUUACUUUUCUCCCCACUCCUUCCUGUUUAACAGAAUGCUGAUUUCUUCAGAUAGCCACAACUUUCACAUUCAGUCAGUUGCCUCAAGGGAUACUCACCUCAUCCCUGUACUUCAGUGCCUCUGACUGAUAUUAUAUUUUAAUGGAAUCUUAACUCCUUGGUUUAUUUUCUCCCUCCCAAGGAGGUAUGCCGUAACUCCUUCCUCAUUACCAGUCAACAGUUGCUUCUUUUGACACCUGCAAGAGAAAGGGGAUCAGAGCAGCAGUUUUCAAGUGAAGGAGCAGAAGUGGAAUGGAGGAGCCCAGAACUCACCUUUGAGAUCCUGCUCACGUCCUACCGCUUAGAGGGGGCCUGUGAUAUUGACUUUGCUCAUCUUCCUCCCCGCAUUCUAUUGAUCCAGAUUCUGUGUAACAAAUGGUCUGGUUUCCUAACCACCUUGGAAACGUCAGGAAAGAGAUCCCCAUGUAAACAGACUUUCUCUUGGUGUCUGAUGUAAAGAGUCAUUCUGAGGUGGAAGACAAAGAGCUCGGGAGAAAACCCCACCACAGCAUAAGAGGAACGGAUCAGAGAAGACACCAGUGAGAAAACAUUUGACUGGAGCUUCAGGAAUGAAUAGGAGUUCCUGAGCAAAAAGCACCGUGUCAGCAAUGGCCCAUAUGCAUAAUCGCCCACAUUUUAGUCAUCUUGCAAUUUAAUAGUGUAUUAGUUCUUAUUUAAUUAAUAUAUUUAUUUAAAUAGACUUAAGCAUUUUGCCUUAUCUUAAUUAAUACUAUGAAGCAUAGGUUCAACAUGUUAAAUUUUAUCUACAUAUAAGGAAAUGAACAUGCUAUCGAUUGUCUAUUCAAUGUCUAUUUUUCCACUUCUGUUUUUUCUAACAGAACCUCAAAUGGGUGAUGGCUGCCUGCAUGCCAUCACCUGCUUCAACGAAAGCUGAUUCCACUCCCAGCUCAACAACUAGAACCUAAUGCUGCCCAUCCGUCAUCGCGGGCAGAGAGUAUCCAUCAUGGGCCGAGCGGGAUCGUUUCCACAGCUGUCAGGGAGUGGACACAGCAAAGGUGCCCGUGGUGGCUGGACAGAGUUGUCCAGGCCUGAUGGUGAGGGAGCUUCCAGGGGACGGAGGGCAUCCGGGGGUCUGUCUCCAAUGGCUUCAUGCAGUCCCCGAGUGAGACCUCUGUUCUCCCCAUCGAUAUCACAGCCAGAUCAGUCAGCAAGAGCGAUGAAGAUCGGUGAGGUUUUGGAGCAGUGCCGUGACUUGCAGUAGCGGUGUCGGGAUUUGAACCCAGGUUCAUUUGAUCCCCAGACCAGCACUAUACUGAUUUCCAAAGCAAGAAGUAAUCCAUAAGCUUAACUGGGCUGGGAUAGACCCCUGUGGCCAAUCUUCUGUGAAUAAAAUUGCCUGCCUCUCCUAGGAGUGAGUCAGUCUUUCCAUCUGCAGACUUCGAGUGGAAGUGCGGCUGGCGUGGGGUCAGGAACAUCGGAACCAGAGUCGAAAGAGAAGGAGGUGGAUUCUUCUUCCUCCUCGUGAUUAACACGCUUUCUCGGUCUUUCCUGGCCAACACUUAAUGCCACACGGCCUUUAUCCGUAGAUUGACAGAUAGACUUGAGGAUGCCUGCUGUUUAAAAAAGAGACCCUUGCCAUUGAAGCACCUAGAAGACCACAGCAAAGGUGAAAGGAAAAUGAAACGACAUGAAAGCCUCUGGACUCAGAAAGUGUGGAGGGCUGGACGGCAGCUACUGUGGUCUGAACCGUGCUUCUGGAAGGUUAAUAUGUUGAGGUGCUUCCCUCUCCUGUAGCUGUUUGGAGUUAGGGCCUGUGAGACAUGAUAAAGGUCAAGUGAGGUCAUGAGGGUGGGCCCUAGACGGAUAGGGUUUAUGCCUUGAUAAGAAGAGACCCUAGAGUUCUCUUUUUUCUACUGUGUGAGGACAGCGCAAGAAGAUGGCCAUCAGCAAAGUAGGAAGAGAGUCCACCCAGAGGCUGACUCUUGCUGGGACCUUAAUCUUUGAUUUUCCAGCCUCCAGAAAAUGCAUAUCUAUUGCUUAAGCAGCACAAUCUGUGGUAUUUUAUGGAAACCUGAGCAGGCUGGGAUGGUUGCCCCAAAGAUACUGGAUCCUAACACUUGGAAUCUGUAAACCUUAUCUUAUUUGAGGGAGGGG